This 292-nucleotide ribosomal RNA is filed under the name uncultured microorganism. RNAcentral's name for it is "partial 16S ribosomal RNA". It matches the Rfam family "Bacterial small subunit ribosomal RNA", at positions 505 to 796 of the family's 1533-position model. The record is from RNAcentral.
GUGCCAGCAGCCGCGGUAAUACGUAGGGGGCAAGCGUUGUCCGGAAUUAUUGGGCGUAAAGCGCGCGCAGGCGGUCCUUUAAGUCUGAUGUGAAAGCCCACGGCUUAACCGUGGAGGGCCAUUGGAAACUGGAGGACUUGAGUACAGAAGAGGAGAGUGGAAUUCCACGUGUAGCGGUGAAAUGCGUAGAGAUGUGGAGGAACACCAGUGGCGAAGGCGACUCUCUGGUCUGUAACUGACGCUGAGGUGCGAAAGCGUGGGUAGCGAACAGGAUUAGAUACCCUGGUAGUCC